CUGUGCCUGGCUCCCUGUAUGCCACACGUGAAGACCAAUCUGAUUACUGAUCGGCUAUCGUGGGUGGCGUGCGAGGAGCCAAGCAUAC
Molecule: microRNA precursor, 88 nt
Filed under: Nelumbo nucifera (sacred lotus)
Lineage: Eukaryota; Viridiplantae; Streptophyta; Magnoliopsida; Proteales; Nelumbonaceae
Description: mir-160 microRNA precursor family
Rfam family: mir-160 microRNA precursor family
About the family: The hairpin precursors (represented here) are predicted based on base pairing and cross-species conservation -- their extents are not known. In this case the mature sequence is excised from the 5' arm of the hairpin.
Source: Rfam by way of RNAcentral